CCCCACGCCGCCGCCAUGUGCUCUCCGCCUCCCUCUCCCGAAGCCUAUCCUCCCCCGUGCCGUGCGCUCUCCGCCUACCUCUCCCGAAGCCUCUCCUCCCUCGUGCGACCUUCGCCUCUCUUUCUACCGCGAAGCCGCUCCGCCUCUCUCUCUCACCAAUCUGUUGCCUGCAUCCAUCGCCGCUCCGUCCGCGCUCUCUCUCUACCUCUCUCUCAAAGUCUCUCCUCUUCUCUCUCAUCGAUCCGUCGAUUUGCUGCCUGCUGGAUUGACGCCGGAGGUGUUCCUCCUCUUCCUCUCCCUCCUCUUCGCCCUUAAACAUGCCGGAUGGGCACGAUUAGGCAGGGCCAGCAC
Molecule: unclassified non-coding RNA, 351 nt
Filed under: Zea mays
Lineage: Eukaryota; Viridiplantae; Streptophyta; Magnoliopsida; Poales; Poaceae
Description: misc RNA Zm00001eb275210
Source: RNAcentral